GUAUUCGUUUCAUCUACACCAGAGAAGGCAGACCAAGUGGCGAGGCUUUUGUUGAACUUGAAUCAGAAGAUGAAGUCAAAUUGGCCCUGAAAAAAGACAGAGAAACUAUGGGACACAGAUAUGUUGAAGUAUUCAAGUCAAACAACGUUGAAAUGGAUUGGGUGUUGAAGCAUACUGGUCCAAAUAGUCCUGACACGGCCAAUGAUGGCUUUGUACGGCUUAGAGGACUUCCCUUUGGAUGUAGCAAGGAAGAAAUUGUUCAGUUCUUCUCAGGGUUGGAAAUCGUGCCAAAUGGGAUAACAUUGCCGGUGGACUUCCAGGGGAGGAGUACGGGGGAGGCCUUCGUGCAGUUUGCUUCACAGGAAAUAGCUGAAAAGGCUCUAAAGAAACACAAGGAAAGAAUAGGGCACAGGUGGGGAUGGAUGGUUGGUUGGAUAUGUCACUUUUCUUAUGGUAAACAAUUAAAUCCAUAUUCUCUCUGCUUAAAAGAAGAAAUUAAUGUUUUGUAGUCCUAGGUAAUUGAUGUUUUGCCAUGAUUUCCAAACUUUUCUUAUGUCAGUCCCAUGUUACACGCAAACUAAAUUU
This 585-nucleotide small RNA is filed under the name Pan troglodytes (chimpanzee). RNAcentral's name for it is "retained intron". The record is from RNAcentral. Lineage: Eukaryota; Metazoa; Chordata; Mammalia; Primates; Hominidae.